RNAcentral lists this microRNA (21 nucleotides) under Callithrix jacchus (white-tufted-ear marmoset). RNAcentral's name for it is "cja-miR-548n". Its record names the gene cja-miR-548n. The record is from miRBase by way of RNAcentral. Lineage: Eukaryota; Metazoa; Chordata; Mammalia; Primates; Cebidae.
AGAAACUGCAGUUACUUUUGC